CCCUUAGAUGUUCUGGGCUGCACGCGCGCUACACUGAAGCUAUCAACACGUUUUCCCUCCCUGAGAAGGGCGGGUAACCUUUUGAAUCAGCUUCGUGGUAGGGAUCGGGGCUUGCAAUUGUUCCCCGUGAACCAGGAAUUCCUAGUAGACGCGAGUCAUAAGCUCGCAUCGAUUAAGUCCCUGCCCUUUGUACACACCGCCCGUCGCUACUACCGAUUGAACGUUUUAGUGAGGCAUUUGGACCGACGCAUCUCAGUUUAACCGCUGGUUUGUGUUGGAAAGACUUCCAAACUUGAGCGUAUAGAGGAAGUAAAAGUCGUAACA
RNAcentral lists this ribosomal RNA (324 nucleotides) under uncultured eukaryote. Its description in RNAcentral is "partial 18S ribosomal RNA". It matches the Rfam family "Eukaryotic small subunit ribosomal RNA", at positions 1470 to 1796 of the family's 1831-position model. The record is from RNAcentral.